GAUGAAGAACGUAGCGAAAUGCGAUACGUAAUGUGAAUUGCAGAAUCCAGUGAAUCAUCGAAUCUUUGAACGCACAUUGCGCCCGCCAGCAUUCUGGCGGGCAUGCCUGUUCGAGCGUCAUUUCAACCCUCGACCUCCCUUUGGGGAAGUCGGCGUUGGGGACCGGCAGCACACCGCCGGCCCUGAAAUGGAGUGGCGGCCCGUCCGCGGCGACCUCUGCGUAGUAAACCAACUCGCACCGGAACCCCGACGUGGCCACGCCGUAAAACACCCAACUUCUGAACGUUGACCUCGAAUCAGGUAGGACUACCCGCUGAACUUAAGCAUAUCAAUAAGCGGAGGA
RNAcentral lists this unclassified non-coding RNA (343 nucleotides) under soil metagenome. RNAcentral describes it as "partial contains 5.8S ribosomal RNA, internal transcribed spacer 2, and large subunit ribosomal RNA". The stretch from base 1 to 120 matches the Rfam family "5.8S ribosomal RNA", at positions 35 to 154 of the family's 154-position model. The record is from RNAcentral.